GACGAACGCUGGCGGCGUGCUUAACACAUGCAAGUCGAGCGGUAAGGCCCUUUCGGGGGUACACGAGCGGCGAACGGGUGAGUAACACGUGGGUGACCUGCCCUCAGCUCUGGGAUAAGCCUGGGAAACCGGGUCUAAUACUGGAUAUGACUCCAUGACGCAUGUUGUGGGGUGGAAAGCCUUGUGCGGCUGAGGAUGGGCCCGCGGCCUAUCAGCUUGUUGGUGGGGUGANGGCCUACCAAGGCGACGACGGGUAGCCGGCCUGAGAGGGGCGACCGGCCACACUGGGACUGAGACACGGCCCAGACUCCUACGGGAGGCAGCAGUGGGGAAUCUUGCGCAAUGGGCGAAAGCCUGACGCAGCGACGCCGCGUGAGGGA
RNAcentral lists this ribosomal RNA (380 nucleotides) under uncultured bacterium. RNAcentral's name for it is "bacterial SSU rRNA". It matches the Rfam family "Bacterial small subunit ribosomal RNA", at positions 28 to 408 of the family's 1533-position model. The record is from RNAcentral.